RNAcentral lists this long non-coding RNA (1369 nucleotides) under Crocodylus porosus (Australian saltwater crocodile). RNAcentral's name for it is "lncRNA (ENSCPRG00005004953.1)". Lineage: Eukaryota; Metazoa; Chordata; Crocodylia; Crocodylidae. The record is from RNAcentral.
AUUUUAUCAAUGUGAUGAUGAGAAAGAGAGAGAACCCGCACCCAGAGCACGGCCUCACUUUGUGUCACUCCACUGGCUGAUCACAAAGGAUGCAUGAAGUGCAAUGAAACUGAACAGGCUGGAGCCUGUAUUUCCUUUUGGCAACUGGAAACAGCAAAUCACAUUAAAAAUGAUUUAGCACUGAGUUGUGGGUGGUGAGGGGGAAGCCAGACACUCCUUUUCAGUGUCUCAGGAUAAUGUAAUCAAAGAGUGGACACACAAAAAGCAUAUGAUUUUUCUGUUUAUCUGCACAGGUACGUUGUGAUUCAGAGGCCAGCACUUAUUUUUAAUUUAAGGGUCAAUAUUUAGGCACCUAAAGAAAAGUGACUUGCGACGAAAUCUAUCAAAGUGGCUACUGAUCUCAGUUUGCAUCAGGUCUGGAGAGGUGCAAAGUUCCAGGAAUUCCAAGUGACCUCAGAGGGACAUGUUCAGUACUGCUGAAAGUCAGGUCCAAGGUGACUCAGGUUGGACACCCAAAAAUCAAGGGAUCUGAAUCAAUGUCUACUUUGGGAAACAUUUGCCCUAACUUUAAGAAAAGCAACGAUUUCCACAGAAUAUGACUUUUGUAGCCUGGGUUUGGACAACCAAGUCUGAACGUUGCAUUGUAGCAUCUAUCUAUGAAAGAGAAGGAGAGAACUGCCUUGCUAAGGAUUAGUGUUCCUAGCCCUAAUGCAGCCAUUCUUCAGGACCCUACAUUGUAACUGUACAACUACCUUCAUCCCUCAUCUCAGGUCUGUGUGAAGAAUUGGGGUUGAACAAUGAUCGAGAAGGGAGGUAUCCAGAAGGGGUUUCCUCCUGUGAGCAGUGCCAUAAUGAGAGCUUGGUGCAUGAAGGGAGUUGAAGCCAGAAUUCAACAGUAUUUGCAGCUGGCUCCAAGACAUCAGUCUCACCAUCAUUCGCUAUCUUGGCCGACUUACAGUGAUUCCAGGAGAAACUCCUUAGUUUAUUUUAACAUCAUUUCCUUUCGUUGGAUCUGGCUUUUUGCAGUGUUCUUUUGAAAGGGAUCACAAAAGAGGAAAUCCUCUUUUUCUGUUAGAAUUAUUCUAAACUACUGGCUUCUCUAACUCAUGGCAAGAAAGAUCUGGAUUGACUUACUUCAUGUCAUCUCCAGCCAUUGAUGCUAUCUAUGUUUCUAAAGAGAGACCAAAUCCUGAAAAUCAUUGCUCAGUUCUCACUCCACCUUGACUCAUGAAAAGUGUUCUUUGACCACAAUGGAAAAUGGUUAGAACACAAUGGUCAAUUUGAUUGAAUGAGAAUAGAGUGAAUUCUGAUGAAGGAUGAUUGUGUAACAGUAUGGUUUAUGUUUGGCAAUACUUUUCUAAACUGUGUA